Molecule: ribosomal RNA, 27 nt
Filed under: uncultured dinophysoid
Lineage: Eukaryota; Dinophyceae; Dinophysales; Dinophysaceae
Description: partial 5.8S ribosomal RNA
Source: RNAcentral
GAAAGCAUGCCUGCUUUGGUGUCUAUU